AGGCAGCCGGCAAGUCCCUUACUGACGCUAAAGCUCGAAAGUGCGGGUAUCGAACAGGAUUAGAUACCCUGGUAGUCCGCACGGUAAACGAUGGAUGCCCGCUGUCGGCGAUAUAUUGUCGGCGGCCAAGCGAAAGCGUUAAGCAUCCCACCUGGGGAGUACGCCGGCAACGGUGAAACUCAAAGGAAUUGACGGGGGCCCGCACAAGCGGAGGAACAUGUGGUUUAAUUCGAUGAUACGCGAGGAACCUUACCCGGGCUUGAACUGCAGGAGAAGGCGGCAGAGAUGCCAACGUCCUUCGGGACUCCUGUGGAGGUGCUGCAUGGUUGUCGUCAGCUCGUGCCGUGAGGUGUCGGCUUAAGUGCCAUAACGAGCGCAACCCCUGCUGUCAGUUGCCAUCGGGUGAUGCCGGGCACUCUGUCAGGACUGCCACCGUAAGGUGUGAGGAAGGUGGGGAUGACGUCAAAUCAGCACGGCCCUUACGUCCGGGGCUACACACGUGUUACAAUGGGUGGUACUGAGAGCCGGGUGUACGCAAGUGCACUCCAAUCAUUAAAGCCAUCCUCAGUUCGGAUUGGGGUCUGCAACCCGACCCCAGAAG
Molecule: ribosomal RNA, 601 nt
Filed under: uncultured bacterium
Lineage: Bacteria
Description: bacterial SSU rRNA
Rfam family: Bacterial small subunit ribosomal RNA
Source: RNAcentral